This is a non-coding RNA of Caenorhabditis elegans, 21 nucleotides long. The record is from Ensembl. Lineage: Eukaryota; Metazoa; Nematoda; Chromadorea; Rhabditida; Rhabditidae.
UCAAAAACUCCCUAAAACAAA